AAGCUCGUAGUUGAAUUUCGGGGUUAGUAGGUUGGUCAUGCCUCUGGUAUGUACUGGUCUCACUGAUUCCUCCUUCCUGAUGAACCGUAAUGCCAUUAAUUUGGUGUUGCGGGGAAUUUGGACUGUUACUUUGAAAAGAUUAGAGUGUUUAAAGCAAGCUAACGCUUGAAUACAUUAGCAUGGAAUAAUGAAAUAGGACGUUCGAUCUUAUUUUGUUGGUUUCUAGGAUUGACGUAAUGAUUAAUAGGGAUAGUUGGG
RNAcentral lists this ribosomal RNA (258 nucleotides) under uncultured Glomus. Its description in RNAcentral is "partial 18S ribosomal RNA". It matches the Rfam family "Eukaryotic small subunit ribosomal RNA", at positions 624 to 886 of the family's 1831-position model. Lineage: Eukaryota; Fungi; Glomeromycota; Glomeromycetes; Glomerales; Glomeraceae. The record is from RNAcentral.